Molecule: ribosomal RNA, 462 nt
Filed under: uncultured bacterium
Lineage: Bacteria
Description: bacterial SSU rRNA
Rfam family: Bacterial small subunit ribosomal RNA
Source: RNAcentral
AAUCAACGCUGGCGGCAGGCUUAACACAUGCAAGUCGAACGGGCAUAGCAAUAUGUCAGUGGCAGACGGGUGAGUAACGCGUGGGAACAUACCUCUUGGUUCGGAACAACACAGGGAAACUUGUGCUAAUACCGGAUAAGCCCUUACGGGGAAAGAUUUAUCGCCGAAAGAUUGGCCCGCGUCUGAUUAGCUAGUUGGUGAGGUAAUGGCUCACCAAGGCGACGAUCAGAGCUGGUCUGAGAGGAUGAUCAGCCACAUUGGGACUGAGACACGGCCCAAACUCCUACGGGAGGCAGCAGUGGGGAAUAUUGGACAAUGCACGAAAGUGUGACCCAGCGACGCCGCGUGGAGGACGAAGGCCCUUGGGUCGUAAACUCCUUUUACGAGAGAAGAAUGAGCCGCAAGGCUUUUGACGGUAUCUCGUGAAUAAGCCACGGCUAACUACGUGCCAGCCGCCGCCGU